ACGCUGGCGGCAGGCCUAACACAUGCAAGCUCCGAACGGUAACAGGAAGACAGCUUGCUUGUCUUUCGCUGACGAGUGGCGGACGGGUGAGUAAUGUCUGGGAAACUGCCUGAUGGAGGGGGAUAACUACUGGAAACGGUAGCUAAUACCGCAUAACGUCGCAAGACCAAAGAGGGGGACCUUCGGGCCUCUUGCCAUCGGAUGUGCCCAGAUGGGAUUAGCUAUGUAUGGUGGGGUAACGGCUCACCUAGGCGACGAUCCCUAGCUGGUCUGAGAGGAUGACCAGCCACACUGGAACUGAGACACGGUCCAGACUCCUACGGGAGGCAGC
This 331-nucleotide ribosomal RNA is filed under the name Escherichia coli. RNAcentral describes it as "bacterial SSU rRNA". It matches the Rfam family "Bacterial small subunit ribosomal RNA", at positions 33 to 352 of the family's 1533-position model. The record is from RNAcentral. Lineage: Bacteria; Pseudomonadati; Pseudomonadota; Gammaproteobacteria; Enterobacterales; Enterobacteriaceae.